This 268-nucleotide long non-coding RNA is filed under the name Mytilus galloprovincialis (Mediterranean mussel). Lineage: Eukaryota; Metazoa; Mollusca; Bivalvia; Mytilida; Mytilidae. The record is from RNAcentral.
AAAGACCUUCAAUUGGUCUCUGAACAAUUGGUUUUUAAUUAUUAUUUUUUUCUUCCGUCAACAUUUGUUUUCCUUCGCUGAUUUUGUUUCGUAAGAUGUCGCUUAGACAUAUGGUAUGUGAUAACGAACAGUUUAUACGCUUUUGAAAAUGACACCGCAUAACCUAAAUCUUUUCCAUGUAAGAGUUACCUCCCCAAACACUAUUUUUCUUGUUAUUACUUAUACGUCCAACCCGUAUUCCAAACCGAAAAAAAUAUUUUACCAAAUU